GACGAACGCUGGCGGCGUGCCUAAUACAUGCCAGUUGAGCGCUGAAGGUUGGUACUUGUACCAACUGGAUGAGCAGCGAACGGGUGAGUAACGCGUGGGGAAUCUGCCUUUGAGCGGGGGACAACAUUUGGAAACGAAUGCUAAUACCGCAUAAAAACUUUAAACACAAGAUUUAAGUUUGAAAGAUGCAAUUGCAUCACUCAAAGAUGAUCCCGCGUUGUAUUAGCUAGUUGGUGAGGUAAAGGCUCACCAAGGCGAUGAUACAUAGCCGACCUGAGAGGGUGAUCGGCCACAUUGGGACUGAGACACGGCCCAAACUCCUACGGGAGGCAGCAGUAGGGAAUCUUCGGCAAUGGACGAAAGUCUGACCGAGCAACGCCGCGUGAGUGAAGAAGGUUUUCGGAUCGUAAAACUCUGUUGGUAGAGAAGAACGUUGGUGAGAGUGGAAAGCUCAUCAAGUGACGGUAACUACCCAGAAAGGGACGGCUAACUACGUG
RNAcentral lists this ribosomal RNA (497 nucleotides) under uncultured bacterium. RNAcentral's name for it is "partial 16S ribosomal RNA". It matches the Rfam family "Bacterial small subunit ribosomal RNA", at positions 28 to 507 of the family's 1533-position model. The record is from RNAcentral.